UACAGAGGGUGCAAGCGUUAAUCGGAAUUAUUGGGCGUCAAGGGAGCGUAGGCGGACAUUUAAGUCAGGGGUGCAAUCCCAGAGCUCAACUCUGGAACUGCCUUUGAUACUGGGUGUCUUGAGUGUGAUAGAGGUAUGUGGAACUCCGAGUGUAGAGGUGAAAGUCGUAGAUAUUCGGAAGAACACCAGUGGCGAAGGCGACAUACUGGAUCAUUACUGACGCUGAGGCUCGAAAGCGUGGGGAGCAAACAGG
Molecule: ribosomal RNA, 253 nt
Filed under: uncultured bacterium
Lineage: Bacteria
Description: partial 16S ribosomal RNA
Rfam family: Bacterial small subunit ribosomal RNA
Source: RNAcentral